This 3292-nucleotide ribosomal RNA is filed under the name Triticum aestivum (bread wheat). Its description in RNAcentral is "partial small subunit ribosomal RNA". Lineage: Eukaryota; Viridiplantae; Streptophyta; Magnoliopsida; Poales; Poaceae. The record is from RNAcentral.
AGGCACGCAACCUCCGCCGUCUCCGGAUCGUUCUCCGGCAUCCCUCCGCCGCCACUUCUCCUCCCCGUUCCUAGCCAAGCUCCGGCCCUCCGCCAUCCCCUCCUCCUUGACCGCCUCUCUACUCCUCUGAAGAUGGAACACGGGCCAGCUGCUACGCCUGAGCUGGCACAAGGUCAUCGGGCAGAGGAGGUCCAGCGCCGACGAGCCACUCACGCCCGUGUCUGAGGUCUCGGAGGCGCUGGAGUUGCCGGCCUUACUGAGAUGGGUCGGCGGGGAUGAUGGUGUUGGGGUCAGGAGGGAAAGGCCACCGACGAGGAUGGCGGCAUGGCAGGGGCUUGUUCGGUUAAUCCUCUCCCCAAGAGGAUUGGAGGGGAUUGGCAAGGAUUGGCUUGUAUUUUGACUUACAAGAGGUUUAAAUCCCCUUCAAACCCCUUCAAUCCACUCGGAUUCGCACCCAACCGAACAAGGCCUUAGGUGAAUUGGAAGAUGUUUUGACAUGUUAAAAUGGUGCAUCCUGUGCUAGUUGACUGGUCAAUCUUUUCAUUUGUUGGGAGCUGAAAGUUGUAUUUCCAAAUUAACAGAGGGUGAACCGUGGUUCUCAGGUAUGAUGCAAAGCAUUCCAUGUUGUGUUUACUAAUAUCAGGUGCUCAUUCACGUAUGAUUUUAUUGAUUAUUGAAGAAUAAACAGGUUAUAUAGUGUUUGCUUGGACUGUAAAUUUUCUCUCUUAUCAUUUGUGAAUUUUAGCAAUUGUUUCUUAUUGAUCCGUCUUUUCUUCCCGGUAGGUGAUAUCAGAAUUAUCGAGUCCUGCCAAUCACAUGAGAUCACUGAUCUUAUUUUGGUGCAUGGUUAGCCUGAUGGUUUGAUUGUCUGUCAUCUAUCAUUAGGGACAACUGCAUACUUUGGUUUACUCAAUGUGGUAAAUGCCCAUGUCUGUUUUAUUCACGAUGAGCAGAUGCAGUAUACAACAUGAGACAACAUUCUUGGCGGCAGCUCGUGGUCCCAUUUUUUCGCAGGACCUGCCAAAUUUAGUUGCAAGUAAAGAUGCAGAUUUUUCAUAUGUUGAUGCUGUUUUUUGUUGCUUGGCACAUGUAACAACACAGGUUGGUAGCUUCAUCAUGCUUUUUCUGAGAUUUUUUUCUAUCAAUUGCUAAACUUAUGAAGGAAUCCAGUUAUAUGCUCAGCUCUCAAUUGGAAGAUAAGAUUUUGUAUCGAACACACUUAGAGCAAUGUCUGAUGGCAAGUUUGUUAUCAAGAAAUUAUUAAAGGCUUACCCCAACAAUUGGAGAUUGUUGGUCCCUCUGCGGUAUGCUCUAUACAAACACAUGCUUUACCUAUGUUGGUAUCACCUCGGUUGCUAUUGAACAACCAAUCUUUCAGACUUACCAUGCUCGUAGGAUUUUCGAUUGCGUGACAUCAAUGAGUAUGCUGAGUGGUAUGGCACUAUGGCCAUGCUCAUAGGGCACUGAAACUUCAGGUGUUCUUGAGUACUAUACCCUACAGACUUGUUAAUAUACCAGCCAUUGGUUACACAAAUUUUGAAGUUACUCAGUUCUAAAGUUCCAGUUUACUGAGAUGUUUCAUCAAUUUCUUUGUACAUUACCUUUGGAGCUUGGAUUAGAUUCCUGUGUAGCCUAUGAUGUCUUCUAGUCCUCUUGUGUCAUUAUGUUUGUUUGUUGUGAACUCAUAAGAGGUUGUAUAUGGUUUGACGGAGGUUCUUCGAGAUGAAAUAAGAGAUGUGCGGCUUGUUGCCAACCCCCGCAUCUAUUCAGCUCCCUCUUGUUGCUCUAAUUAAGGUGAAAAUUAAUAAAAGUUCUUAGUCUUCCCAGAUCAAAGCAACAAGCAUUUAGACUCAAUAGCCCUCACUUGUGAACCAUCUGUUUUUGUUUUUGUAAUAUCUUUUUUAUUCUAUCCAAAAAGAGGUUGUUAUUCAUGUUAUUAUUAUUUAUUAACCUGCAUUCGAUGGUUAUGCAGUAAGACAGUAACAUGCUUCUGUGAGCAAACGUUGAUGUUUAGAUCAUGUACAACAGUGCAUGUAAAUAUCAUUUCUUUUAUUUAGAAUUCCACACACCCAAUUCAUAUGAGAAUAUCUUGAGAAGAUCAGUUCUGCCACUGCUGCUGUUGUAGAAUGAAUUGGAUGAGCUCUUCCUUUAGUUGCUGCUACUUUUAGCCCUUAUUUCCUUGAGAACAUCUUCAAAGUAUAGAUAAGAAAAUUACGUGGCUAUAGAAGGAUAUAUGUCAUUCAAUAAAACACCAAAGAAAAAUAACUUUGAAAUCUAUAUAUUUUAUUGACUGUGCACCUAUUCCAUCUACUAAAUAACUUCUGUGAGGUAAUCCUGAUCAGAAGUUUUAUACAACUUCUCUUCUUUGAAGCUUCUUUUCAUUCCCGUGCUCUCCUCUUUUAUAUGAAUUAUGUAGGUGGACCUGUUAGGCCGUAAUAUUACCAUGUGCUAAGAUUUUGUUCCUCUGUGUUGGAUUUGGUUACAAAAUCAAGGGAUAGAAAAUAUGAAUAUUCGUGUGCUGCCCACCAAUGGAACAUUUUGUUUUUUUACUGUGACUAUUCUGUAUUUUGUUUGCUUCGUCCAACAACGACGUUGACUGGACAAGAGGUAGGUUUUCCCUUUGUGUUUAGAUUCUUAUGUCUUUCCAGAUGCUCUAUUUUCAACCAAUUGAAUGAUUAUAUUAGCCCUGCAGUUGUAAUCAAUCCCCGGGAAACGAGCAACUAGAGCAAUCAAUAAUUCGUGACUACGUCUGCUUCAUGCUCUACAGGGAGUCAGAUGGCUGUCCUAAACAGAGGGUCGGUGUUGCACGAGCUGAAGCUGCGAACACCUUCAUAUCCUGAUCGUCUGAAAAUCUUUCUUAGUUGCUACAGUACUCUAUUUCAUGAGGUUCCAUAUUGAUUGAUAUUCAGCACCAAUCUGCAAAGAACCAAUAGGUGACACAUCCUGAGUCCUUCGCCGUGGCGUGGACAAGACGCCCUGCCGGAGCAGGGUGUGGAUGAGUUGGUGGCUCCGGUCACGCACACCGGCUGGUACUGCUCCGGCGAGCCACCGCUGCCGUUGCCUGUCUCAAUCUCGCUUGGCAUCAACUUUAGGCGAGGGCGCUGAACGCAGAGAAGGGAAGAAAAAACUAUGGGCGCUCUUACUAGAGCUGUAAUUAUGCACAUCCGAAAAGAAGCUAAGCUGCAGUGUGUCUGUACUGUGCUACAGACGAGAUUCGUUUGUAUUGGCUGUCAUGCAUUUCUCUUUACUUUUCACAUGAAGUAGCAACAUAAUAUGUUGAUGAAAGAGCUCA